AGUCGAGGGGUAUUAUCUUCGGAUAGAGAGACCGGCGCACGGGUGCGUAACGCGUAUGCAAUCUACCUUUUACAGAGGGAUAGCCCAGAGAAAUUUGGAUUAAUACCUCAUAGUAUAUAGACUCGGCAUCGAGAUUAUAUUAAAGUCACAACGGUAAAAGAUGAGCAUGCGUCCCAUUAGCUAGUUGGUAAGGUAACGGCUUACCAAGGCUACGAUGGGUAGGGGUCCUGAGAGGGAGAUCCCCCACACUGGUACUGAGACACGGACCAGACUCCUACGGGAGGCAGCAGUGAGGAAUAUUGGACAAUGGGCGCAAGCCUGAUCCAGCCAUGCCGCGUGCAGGAUGACGGUCCUAUGGAUUGUAAACUGCUUUUAUACGAGAAGAAACACUACUUCGUGAAGUAGCUUGACGGUAUCGUAAGAAUAAGGAUCGGCUAACUCCGUGCCAGCAGCCGCGGUAAUACGGAGGAUCCAAGCGUUAUCCGGAAUCAUUGGGUUUAAAGGGUCCGUAGGCGGUUUAAUAAGUCAGUGGUGAAAGCCCAUCGCUCAACGGUGGAACGGCCAUUGAUACUGUUAGACUUGAAUUAUUAGGAAGUAACUAGAAUAUGUAGUGUAGCGGUGAAAUGCUUAGAGAUUACAUGGAAUACCAAUUGCGAAGGCAGGUUACUACUAAUUGAUUGACGCUGAUGGACGAAAGCGUGGGUAGCGAACAGGAUUAGAUACCCUGGUAGUCCACGCCGUAAACGAUGGAUACUAGCUGUUGGGAGCAAUCUCAGUGGCUAAGCGAAAGUGAUAAGUAUCCCACCUGGGGAGUACGUUCGCAAGAAUGAAACUCAAAGGAAUUGACGGGGGCCCGCACAAGCGGUGGAGCAUGUGGUUUAAUUCGAUGAUACGCGAGGAACCUU
RNAcentral lists this ribosomal RNA (905 nucleotides) under uncultured bacterium. RNAcentral's name for it is "bacterial SSU rRNA". It matches the Rfam family "Bacterial small subunit ribosomal RNA", at positions 60 to 972 of the family's 1533-position model. The record is from RNAcentral.